AACGAACGCUGGCGGCAUGCCUAACACAUGCAAGUCGAACGAGACCUUCGGGUCUAGUGGCGCACGGGUGCGUAACGCGUGGGAACCUGCCCUUAGGUUCGGAAUAACUCCCCGAAAGGGGUGCAAAAACCGGAUAAUGUCUUGGGACCAAAGAUUUAUCGCCUUUGGAUGGGCCCGCGUUGGAUUAGCUAGUUGGUAGGGUAAAAGCCUACCAAGGCGACGAUCCAUAGCUGGUCUGAGAGGAUGAUCAGCCACACUGGGACUGAGACACGGCCCAGACUCCUACGGGAGGCAGCAGUGGGGAAUAUUGGACAAUGGGCGAAAGCCUGAUCCAGCAAUGCCGCGUGAGUGAUGAAGGCCUUAGGGUUGUAAAGCUCUUUUACCCGGGAUGAUAAUGACAGUACCGGGAGAAUAAGCUCCGGCUAACUCCGUG
This 433-nucleotide ribosomal RNA is filed under the name uncultured bacterium. RNAcentral describes it as "partial 16S ribosomal RNA". It matches the Rfam family "Bacterial small subunit ribosomal RNA", at positions 29 to 507 of the family's 1533-position model. The record is from RNAcentral.